CAAGUCGAGCGCCCCGCAAGGGGAGCGGCAGACGGGUGAGUAACGCGUGGGAAUCUACCCUUCACUACGGAACAACUCCGGGAAACUGGAGCUAAUACCGUAUACGUCCUUCGGGAGAAAGAUUUAUCGGUGAUGGAUGAGCCCGCGUUGGAUUAGCUAGUUGGUGGGGUAAUGGCCUACCAAGGCAACGAUCCAUAGCUGGUCUGAGAGGAUGAUCAGCCACACUGGGACUGAGACACGGCCCAGACUCCUACGGGAGGCAGCAGUGGGGAAUAUUGGACAAUGGGCGAAAGCCUGAUCCAGCCAUGCCGCGUGAGUGAUGAAGGCCCUAGGGUUGUAAAGCUCUUUCACCGGUGAAGAUAAUGACGGUAACCGGAGAAGAAGCCCCGGCUAACUUCGUGCCAGCAGCCGCGGUAAUACGAAGGGGGCUAGCGUUGUUCGGAAUUACUGGGCGUAAAGCGCACGUAGGCGGACUAUUAAGUCAGGGGUGAAAUCCCGGGGCUCAACCCCGGAACUGCCUUUGAUACUGGUAGUCUCGAGUCC
Molecule: ribosomal RNA, 543 nt
Filed under: uncultured bacterium
Lineage: Bacteria
Description: bacterial SSU rRNA
Rfam family: Bacterial small subunit ribosomal RNA
Source: RNAcentral